AUUGAACGCUGGCGGCAUGCCUUACACAUGCAAGUCGAACGGUAACAGGUUAAGCUGACGUGUGGCGAGCGGGUGAGUAAUGUAUCGGAACUUGCCCAGUCGUGGGGGAUAACUGCUCGAAAGAGCAGCUAAUACCGCAUACGACCUGAGGGUGAAAGCGGGGGAUCGCAAGACCUCGCGCGAUUGGAGCGGCCGAUAUCGGAUUAGGUAGUUGGUGGGGUAAAGGCCUACCAAGCCGACGAUCUGUAGCUGGUCUGAGAGGACGACCAGCCACACUGGAACUGAGACACGGCCCAGACUCCUACGGGAGGCAGCAGUGGGGAAUUUUGGACAAUGGGCGAAAGCCUGAUCCAGCCAUGCCGCGUGUGUGAAGAAGGCCUUCGGGUUGUAAACCGCUUUUGUCAGGGAAGAAAAGGUUCUGGCUAAUACCUGGGAGUCAUGACGGUACCUGAAGAAUAAGCACCGGCUAACUACGUG
RNAcentral lists this ribosomal RNA (477 nucleotides) under uncultured bacterium. RNAcentral describes it as "partial 16S ribosomal RNA". It matches the Rfam family "Bacterial small subunit ribosomal RNA", at positions 30 to 507 of the family's 1533-position model. The record is from RNAcentral.